GGGGUUGUAGUUAAAUUAACAUUUAAUUUGCAAUUAAAAGAUGCCCUAAUACAAUGGCCCUCCUCAC
RNAcentral lists this transfer RNA (67 nucleotides) under Megacopta cribraria (bean plataspid). Its description in RNAcentral is "tRNA-Ala". Lineage: Eukaryota; Metazoa; Arthropoda; Insecta; Hemiptera; Plataspidae. The record is from RNAcentral.